UACGGAGGGUGCAAGCGUUAUCCGGAUUUACUGGGUUUAAAGGGAGCGCAGGCGGAUUGGUAAGUCAGUGGUGAAAUACCCGUGCUUAACGUGGGAACUGCCAUUGAUACUAUCAGUCUUGAAUGUUGUUGAGGUUUGCGGAAUGGGUCAUGUAGCGGUGGAAUGCGCAGAUAUCAGGAGGAACACCAAUAGCGAAGGCAGCUCGCUGGGACGGUAUUGACGCUGAGGCGCGAAAGCGUGGGGAGCAAACAGG
RNAcentral lists this ribosomal RNA (253 nucleotides) under uncultured bacterium. RNAcentral's name for it is "partial 16S ribosomal RNA". It matches the Rfam family "Bacterial small subunit ribosomal RNA", at positions 524 to 776 of the family's 1533-position model. The record is from RNAcentral.